ACUAUUUUGGCAGAAAAGUGCAUUGAAUUUAGAAUUCAAAUAUGUAGAUUAAAUUACAAAUAGUA
This 65-nucleotide transfer RNA is filed under the name Euconocephalus pallidus. RNAcentral describes it as "tRNA-Leu". It matches the Rfam family "tRNA". From Rfam's summary of the family: Transfer RNA (tRNA) molecules are approximately 80 nucleotides in length. Their secondary structure includes four short double-helical elements and three loops (D, anti-codon, and T loops). Further hydrogen bonds mediate the characteristic L-shaped molecular structure. tRNAs have two regions of fundamental functional importance: the anti-codon, which is responsible for specific mRNA codon recognition, and the 3' end, to which the tRNAs corresponding amino acid is attached (by aminoacyl-tRNA synthetases). tRNAs cope with the degeneracy of the genetic code in two manners: having more than one tRNA (with a specific anti-codon) for a particular amino acid; and 'wobble' base-pairing, i.e. permitting non-standard base-pairing at the 3rd anti-codon position. Lineage: Eukaryota; Metazoa; Arthropoda; Insecta; Orthoptera; Tettigoniidae. RNAcentral also lists the same sequence under 1 other name. The record is from RNAcentral.